Molecule: ribosomal RNA, 378 nt
Filed under: uncultured bacterium
Lineage: Bacteria
Description: bacterial SSU rRNA
Rfam family: Bacterial small subunit ribosomal RNA
Source: RNAcentral
UAAGACGUAGGGGACGAGCGUUGUCCGGAUUCAUUGGGCGUAAAGCGCGCGCAGGCGGCCCGCUAAGUCGGAUGUGAAAUCCCGUGGCUCAACCGCGGAACUGCAUUCGAAACUGGCGGGCUUGAGGCAGGUAGGGGAGAUCGGAAUUCCUGGUGUAGCGGUGAAAUGCGCAGAUAUCAGGAGGAACACCGGUGGCGAAGGCGGAUCUCUGGGCCUGUCCUGACGCUGAGGCGCGAAAGCUAGGGGAGCGAACAGGAUUAGAUACCCUGGUAGUCCUAGCCGUAAACGUUGGGUGCUAGGUGUGGGCGGUUAUCAACCCCGUCCGUGCCGGAGCUAACGCAUUAAGCACCCCGCCUGGGGAGUACGGCCGCAAGGCUA